This 567-nucleotide ribosomal RNA is filed under the name uncultured Basidiomycota. RNAcentral's name for it is "LSU rRNA". It matches the Rfam family "Eukaryotic large subunit ribosomal RNA", at positions 84 to 635 of the family's 3401-position model. The record is from RNAcentral. Lineage: Eukaryota; Fungi; Basidiomycota.
UAACUGCGAGUGAAGCGGGAAAAGCUCAAAUUUAAAAUCUGGCGGUCUUUGGCCGUCCGAGUUGUAGUCUGGAGAAGUGCUUUCCGCGCUGGACCGUGUAUAAGUCUCUUGGAACAGAGCGUCAUAGAGGGUGAGAAUCCCGUCUUUGACACGGACUACCAGUGCUUUGUGAUGCGCUCUCAAAGAGUCGAGUUGUUUGGGAAUGCAGCUCAAAAUGGGUGGUGAAUUCCAUCUAAAGCUAAAUAUUGGCGAGAGACCGAUAGCGAACAAGUACCGUGAGGGAAAGAUGAAAAGCACUUUGGAAAGAGAGUUAAACAGUACGUGAAAUUGCUGAAAGGGAAACGCUUGAAGUCAGUCGCGUUGUCCGGAACUCAGCCUUGCUUUUGCUUGGUGCACUUUCCGGAUGACGGGUCAGCAUCGAUUUUGACCGUCGGAAAAGGGCUGGAGUAAUGUGGCACCUCCGGGUGUGUUAUAGACUCUGGUCGCAUACGGCGGUUGGGAUCGAGGAACGCAGCGCGCCGCAAGGCAGGGGUUCGCCCACUUUCGCGCUUAGGAUGCUGGCAUAAU